GGGGAUGUGCAGACGGGUGAGUACGCGUGGAACGUGCCUUUCACUACGGAAUAGCUUUUGGAAACGAAAGGUAAUACCGUAUACGCCCUCCGGGGGAAAGAUUUAUCGGUGAAAGAUCGGUCCGCGUUAGAUUAGCUAGUUGGUGAGGUAAGAGCUCACCAAGGCGACGAUCUAUAGCUGGUCUGAGAGGAUGAUCAGCCACACUGGGACUGAGACACGGCCCAGACUCCUACGGGAGGCAGCAGUGGGGAAUAUUGCACAAUGGGCGCAAGCCUGAUGCAGCCAUGCCGCGUGAAUGAUGAAGGCCUUAGGGUUGUAAAAUUCUUUCGCCAAGGAUGAUAAUGACAGUACUUGGUAAAGAAGCCCCGGCUAACUUCGUGCCAGCAGCCGCGGUAAUACGAAGGGGGCUAGCGUUGUUCGGAAUUACUGGGCGUAAAGCGCACGUAGGCGGACUUUUAAGUCAGGUGUGAAAUCCCGAGGCUCAACCUCGGAACUGCACUUGAAACUGGGAGUCUAGAGAUCAGGAGAGGUUAGUGGAAUACCGAGUGUAGAGGUGAAAUUCGUAGAUAUUCGGUGGAACACCAGUGGCGAAGGCGACUAACUGGACUGAUACUGACGCUGAGGUGCGAAAGUGUGGGGAGCAAACAGGA
RNAcentral lists this ribosomal RNA (650 nucleotides) under uncultured bacterium. RNAcentral describes it as "bacterial SSU rRNA". It matches the Rfam family "Bacterial small subunit ribosomal RNA", at positions 90 to 777 of the family's 1533-position model. The record is from RNAcentral.